UGGGUGACCUGCCUUCAGCUCUGGGAUAAGCCUGGGAAACUGGGUCUAAUACCGGAUAUGACUCCUCAUCGCAUGGUGGGGGGUGGAAAGCUUUUUGUGGUUUUGGAUGGACACGCGGCCUAUCAGCUUGUUGGUGAGGUAAUGGCUCACCAAGGCGACGACGGGUAGCCGGCCUGAGAGGGUGACCGGCCACACUGGGACUGAGACACGGCCCAGACUCCUACGGGGAGCAG
This 233-nucleotide ribosomal RNA is filed under the name uncultured bacterium. RNAcentral's name for it is "partial 16S ribosomal RNA". It matches the Rfam family "Bacterial small subunit ribosomal RNA", at positions 118 to 351 of the family's 1533-position model. The record is from RNAcentral.